GUGAGGAAUAUUGGACAAUGGAUGGAAAUCUGAUCCAGCCAUGCCGCGUGCAGGAAGACGGCCCUAUGGGUUGUAAACUGCUUUUGUAUGGGAGCAAUAAGGGCUACGUGUAGCCUGAUGAGAGUACCAUACGAAUAAGGACCGGCUAACUCCGUGCCAGCAGCCGCGGUAAUACGGAGGGUCCGAGCGUUAUCCGGAUUUAUUGGGUUUAAAGGGUGCGUAGGCGGUUUUAUAAGUCAGCGGUGAAAUUUUCCGGCACAACCGGGAUACUGCCGUUGAUACUGUAAGGCUAGGAUAUGGUUGCUGUGGGUGGAAUGUGUGGUGUAGCGGUGAAAUGCUUAGAGAUCACACAGAAUAUCGAUUGCGAAGGCAGCUCACAAAGCCAUUAUUGACGCUGAGGCACGAAAGUGUGGGGAUCAAACAGGAUUAGAAACCCGAGUAGUCC
This 445-nucleotide ribosomal RNA is filed under the name uncultured bacterium. Its description in RNAcentral is "partial 16S ribosomal RNA". It matches the Rfam family "Bacterial small subunit ribosomal RNA", at positions 354 to 796 of the family's 1533-position model. The record is from RNAcentral.